CAGCAGCCGCGGUAAUACGGAGGGUGCAAGCGUUAAUCGGAAUUACUGGGCGUAAAGCGCACGCAGGCGGUCUGACAAGUCAGAUGUGAAAUCCCCGGGCUUAACCUGGGAACUGCAUUUGAAACUGUCAGGCUGGAGUCUUGUAGAGGGGGGUGGAAUUCCAGGUGUAGCGGUGAAAUGCGUAGAGAUCUGGAGGAAUACCGGUGGCGAAGGCGGCCCCCUGGACAAAGACUGACGCUCAGGUGCGUAAGCGUGGGGAGCAAACAGGAUUAGAUACCCGAGUAGUCCCUGUCUCUUAUAC
RNAcentral lists this ribosomal RNA (301 nucleotides) under uncultured bacterium. RNAcentral describes it as "partial 16S ribosomal RNA". It matches the Rfam family "Bacterial small subunit ribosomal RNA", at positions 509 to 807 of the family's 1533-position model. The record is from RNAcentral.